RNAcentral lists this ribosomal RNA (467 nucleotides) under uncultured bacterium. Its description in RNAcentral is "partial 16S ribosomal RNA". It matches the Rfam family "Bacterial small subunit ribosomal RNA", at positions 28 to 506 of the family's 1533-position model. The record is from RNAcentral.
GACGAACGCUGGCGGCGUGCUUAACACAUGCAAGUCGAACGGAAAGGCCCUGCUUUUGUGGGGUGCUCGAGUGGCGAACGGGUGAGUAACACGUGAGUAACCUGCCCUUGACUUUGGGAUAACUUCAGGAAACUGGGGCUAAUACCGGAUAGGAGCUCCUGCUGCAUGGUGGGGGUUGGAAAGUUUCGGCGGUUGGGGAUGGACUCGCGGCUUAUCAGCUUGUUGGUGGGGUAGUGGCUUACCAAGGCUUUGACGGGUAGCCGGCCUGAGAGGGUGACCGGCCACAUUGGGACUGGGAUACGGCCCAGACUCCUACGGGAGGCAGCAGUGGGGAAUAUUGCGCAAUGGGCGGAAGCAGGAUGCAGCAACGCCGCGUGCGGGAUGACGGCCUUCGGGUUGUAAACCGCUUUCGCCUGUGACGAAGCGUGAGUGACGGUAAUGGGUAGAGAAGCACCGGCUAACUACGU